GACGAACGCUGGCGGCGUGCUUAACACAUGCAAGUCGAACGGAAAGGCACUGCUUUUGUGGGGUGCUCGAGGGGCAAACGGGUGAGUAACACGAGAAUAACCUGCCCUUGACUUUGGGAUAACUUCAGGAAACGGGUGCUAAUGCCGGAUAGGAGCUCCUGCUGGAUGGUGGGGGUGGGAACGUUUCGGCGGGUGGGGAUGGACGGGCGGCUUAUCAGCUUGUUGGUGGGGUGGUGGCUUACCAAGUCAUAGGCGGGUAGGCCGCCUGAGAGGGUGACCGGCCACCUUGGGACUUAGGUAGGGCGCAGACUCCUACGGGAGGCAGCAGUGGGGAAUCUUACACAAUGGGCGGAAGCCUGAUGAAGGAACACCGGGUGUGGGAUGACGUCCUUCGGGUUAAAAACCGCUUUCGCCUGUGACGAAGCGCGACUGACGGUACUGGGUAAAGAAGCACCGGCUAACUACGUG
Molecule: ribosomal RNA, 468 nt
Filed under: uncultured bacterium
Lineage: Bacteria
Description: partial 16S ribosomal RNA
Rfam family: Bacterial small subunit ribosomal RNA
Source: RNAcentral